AGUACCCUGCGGGGUGCGUGAUGAGCCUUUCAUUAACCCACAUUUUGUUAUUCGGGAUGCUGGUUCAUCGUCUGGUUUGCAGGCCUCCCGGCUGCCACCGUGGGCCGUCCAUGUGACGGCGAAGCGCAAACCUGCCGCUUUGCGGCAGUUCACGGCGGUUGGAAGUUGGAAGCAGUAAAGGGCGAUGCAGGCGACCCACCUGCCAGUUAUGUGCAGGUUAUAACGGGGCUCACACGGCUUCUGCGGGGUACUU
This 253-nucleotide non-coding RNA is filed under the name Oscillospiraceae bacterium. RNAcentral's name for it is "6S RNA". It matches the Rfam family "6S / SsrS RNA". Rfam says of the family: E. coli 6S RNA was the first non coding RNA to be sequenced, but its function was unknown until recently. It consists of 184 nucleotides that fold into an extended hairpin structure with a large single-stranded internal bulge. The 6S RNA specifically associates with RNA polymerase holoenzyme containing the sigma70 specificity factor. The record is from RNAcentral. Lineage: Bacteria; Bacillati; Bacillota; Clostridia; Eubacteriales; Oscillospiraceae.